This 327-nucleotide long non-coding RNA is filed under the name Pelobates cultripes (western spadefoot toad). Lineage: Eukaryota; Metazoa; Chordata; Amphibia; Anura; Pelobatidae. The record is from RNAcentral.
GUGUAAUAACUACUGCUUGUGUCUUCUAUGUCUCACAUUAUGUGUUAUUUUAAAUUGUGGUAUAUAGCCUGAAUCAGACAUCAUGGACAAAGGUUUUUACCUGUGUUACUAAGGGCUCUUGGAGACUGACCGGUCUAAAGGUUUGCCAUGCCUUUAAAACAUGGUAUAGUAUACAUUUUUUAAGUCUCUGAGAGUUCUGAAAGAUUCAGGUGAAACCAUGUCUGUUUAAUCUGGUCCAGAUGUUUGUUCAAUUUCUAUAAGAUUUAAGUUGAUGCAGCAUCAUCUCAGAUUAGUUAAUGGUAGUUUUAUACAAAUAGUUGAGUUAUG